Molecule: ribosomal RNA, 424 nt
Filed under: uncultured bacterium
Lineage: Bacteria
Description: bacterial SSU rRNA
Rfam family: Bacterial small subunit ribosomal RNA
Source: RNAcentral
UGGGGAAUCUUGCACAAUGGGGGAAACCCUGAUGCAGCGACGCCGCGUGAACGAUGAAGCCCUUCGGGGUGUAAAGUUCUUUCGGCAGGAACGAUAAUGACGGUACCUGAAGAAGAAGCUGCGGCUAACUACGUGCCAGCAGCCGCGGUAAUACGUAGGCAGCAAACGUUGUUCGGAGUUACUGGGCGUAAAGAGUACGUAGGCGGUUUGCCAAGUUUGGUGUGAAAUCUCCUGGCUUAACUGGGAGGGUGCGCCGAAUACUGGCGGGCUUGAGUAUUGGAGAGGAAAGCGGAAUUCCUGGUGUAGCGGUGAAAUGCGUAGAUAUCAGGAGGAACACCGGUGGUGUAGACGGCUUUCUGGACAAUCACUGACGCUGAGGUACGAAAGCGUGGGUAGCAAACAGGAUUAGAUACCCCGGUAGUCC